RNAcentral lists this ribosomal RNA (492 nucleotides) under uncultured bacterium. RNAcentral describes it as "partial 16S ribosomal RNA". It matches the Rfam family "Bacterial small subunit ribosomal RNA", at positions 29 to 507 of the family's 1533-position model. The record is from RNAcentral.
AGUGAACGCUGGCGGUAGGCCUAACACAUGCAAGUCGAACGGCAGCACAGUAAGAGCUUGCUCUUACGGGUGGCGAGUGGCGGACGGGUGAGGAAUACAUCGGAAUCUACUUUUUCGUGGGGGAUCACGUAGGGAAACUUACGCUAAUACCGCAUACGACCUACGGGUGAAAGCAGGGGAUCUUCGGACCUUGCGCGAUUGAAUGAGCCGAUGUCGGAUUAGCUAGUUGGCGGGGUAAAGGCCCACCAAGGCGACGAUCCGUAGCUGGUCUGAGAGGAUGAUCAGCCACACUGGAACUGGGACAGGGUCCAGACUCCUAAGGGAGGCAGCAGUGGGGAAUAUUGGACAAUGGGCGCAAGCCUGAUCCAGCCAUACCGCGUGGGUGAAGAAGGCGUUCGGGUUGUAAAGCCCUUUUGUUGGGAAAGAAAAGCAGCAGGUUAAUACCCCGCUGUUCUGACGGUAACCAAAGAAUAAGCACCGGCUAACUUCGUG